AGCAGAAAAGUUAGAAAGUUUUUCAAAGGCUUUCGUGCUGACAUUUAUGACCGAGUCGCAAUGUUGAUACCUAGUUUGUAUGCAGAGGUGCUUGAAUAUGCCCAGUUGGCCAAAAAUCUUAUCUCGAUUAAGCACUAACGCUUUGCCUGAGUUCGUGCCCAACAAUUUAGAAAAUGAUUGCCUUACCCAAUAAGUAACCCUCCAGACAAACGAACCAGAAUUGCCCUU
RNAcentral lists this long non-coding RNA (228 nucleotides) under Carica papaya (papaya). Its description in RNAcentral is "long non-coding RNA (CPAP_LNC010068)". The record is from RNAcentral. Lineage: Eukaryota; Viridiplantae; Streptophyta; Magnoliopsida; Brassicales; Caricaceae.